CUCCCAAAAAUCUCUCCAACAAACAAAUCAAAUCUCUACAUUAUACAUCCGUCCCUACAAACUCAUCGGUUAGCAUCUGCCGUUUCACAAUUUCUGUGCAGUUUCCUUCUCUUCCACACAAAGAUUGAGCGGCGAUGAAUGUGAUGGAUGCUGAGCAGAGUCAUUGGAAAAUUAUGUCUUAUUUAGUUGUUGGAUUUGUCGGUUCUUCAUACUCGGCAUUUUUCCAUGUCUUGACGCUUCCGCUAAAAUUCUAAAUUCCUUUGACUGUUUUAUCGUUGGGUCUUAUUAUUCGAAGUUAGUAUUGUUGAGACAGUAUUUGACGUUUGUUUUAAGUUUUUUGGUUAAUCUUUUGUUUUA
This is a non-coding RNA of Salvia hispanica, 357 nucleotides long. The record is from RefSeq and is a predicted model, not a curated record. Lineage: Eukaryota; Viridiplantae; Streptophyta; Magnoliopsida; Lamiales; Lamiaceae.